AACGCUAGCUACAGGCUUAACACAUGCAAGUCGAGGGGAAACGACAUCGAAAGCUUGCUUUCGAUGGGCGUCGACCGGCGCACGGGUGAGUAACGCGUAUCCAACCUGCCCACCACUUGGGGAUAACCUUGCGAAAGUAAGACUAAUACCCAAUGAUAUCUCUAGAGGGCAUCUGAAAGAGAUUAAAGAUUUAUCGGUGAUGGAUGGGGAUGCGUCUGAUUAGCUUGUUGGCGGGGUAACGGCCCACCAAGGCAACGAUCAGUAGGGGUUCUGAGAGGAAGGUCCCCCACAUUGGAACUGAGACACGGUCCAAACUCCUACGGGAGGCAGCAGUGAGGAAUAUUGGUCAAUGGGCGGAAGCCUGAACCAGCCAAGUAGCGUGCAGGAUGACGGCCUUAUGGGUUGUAAACUGCUUUUAUACAGGAAUAAAGUUAGCCACGUGUGGUUAUUUGUAGGUACUGUAUGAAUAAGGACCGGCUAAUUCCGUGCCAGCAGCCGCGGUAAUACGGAAGGUCCAGGCGUUAUCCGGAUUUAUUGGGUUUAAAGGGAGCGUAGGCCGUCUGUUAAGCGUGUUGUGAAAUGUAGAUGCUCAACAUCUGAAUUGCAGCGCGAACUGGCAGACUUGAGUGUGCGCAACGUAGGCGGAAUUCGUGGUGUAGCGGUGAAAUGCUUAGAUAUCACGAAGAACUCCGAUUG
RNAcentral lists this ribosomal RNA (696 nucleotides) under uncultured bacterium. RNAcentral's name for it is "bacterial SSU rRNA". It matches the Rfam family "Bacterial small subunit ribosomal RNA", at positions 32 to 715 of the family's 1533-position model. The record is from RNAcentral.